GGACAAUCGGGUUAUACCCGGAUUGAAACUUCAAGUCUUUUAGUCAGUUCUGCUUCCCACAUUUGUAGGCACGACUUUCAUUUUCAAACUACUCUCCAUCUAUGCACCAUUUAUGUAUUCAAAUUUCUUUCCAGCUUUCAUUCUUCGUUUUUGAAUUGUGAUUGUGAUAGCACGAUCGAGAUGGAACAGGUUGUAAGCGUGUGCCUUUGGGUCCUCUGUCUCCUUCAACACGUAAUGAUACAAGAAUCUAACACAACUCUUGCAAUCUGAUUAAUCUUGGUUUUGUGCUAUAGAUCGUACACUACACGUUUAUUGCUCUGUUCACAGGUUUGUUGUAUGGACUCUUUAGAUAAAUGUAAUCAUCUUACAUAUGUGUUUGAUUCUUUUAGAGCUUUAAAAAAAGAUGUGAAAUAGAUGUUUCAUUUAGAUUUACAGCUCCAACGGGACGAUCUUCUCCUGUUGAUGAGACCCCUGUGGAUUUUAUAGAGCAGAGUAUUGCCUUUUUAGCAAACUUCCAAGGUGAAAGUGUAUUUUUUACAAUUCAGGUCGUACUGAUGGUUUAAUGUCAUCGACAGUGGUAUGUAACGUGAUAGAAGGUGAUGUUUUGAGCGCUCUACUAGAGCACAAGCUUAGAGAAUUAAAUCUUGGGAUGGAGUCUUCCUGCCAUAAAGCAGGGGAAUUUGUUAGUAUUGCUUCAAGUUUUGAGGACAGGAAAGGGUUUACUCUAAAGAUCCAUUUCAUGAGGUCAAAAGAAAACGAGACAAGAGGAAAGAGGUUACAAUGAACGUGGGGUAUACUGCAUCACAACAGAAAAAGCACAGUGAAUCUUUAAUUCAAGGGAGCAAACACACUGCACAUUCUGAUCACAGUGUCAGUGGCAAAGGAAUUAUCCGGAAUUCUUUGCCGGGUAAAAAAACCUUUAAUCUUAUAUUAGAUGUUCAGAUUUCUUUGUGUUCCAGCUUUGCUGAUAUAAUGUUAAAGAUGUAGUUCAUUUGGAAAAUGUAUCGUGUAUAUUGAAAUAGCAUUACUUAGUGGGCGUUUGGAUCAUCGAUUGGAAUGAGAAUUAAGGGUAUGAAAAUGGUGAUAAAUGUUUACAGAGAUGAUAUAAAAUCCCAGGGAAUGAUAACCUACCUAAUGGGGAUGGCUAAAUGAGGUUCCCAUUCCAAGUAACCAAAUUGCUUACCCAAACACUAACGUACAGGAUUUAGGUUCUGAUUCCUGCUAUACGGGCUCAUUAACUAUGAAUAACCCACUUAGGAUAUGUGUAUGGAUACCAAGUUGUUAGACUCCAUAGAUAAUAAGUUAUCCACUUAUCCUCUAUACGGAUACUAAGUUGUCAUACUGCUGCUUUAGUUCAGUUAUGUUAAUUACUUCUGCUCUAGGGUGUUCUUUGUAAUUUACCAGUCAUCUUGGAUCAUCCAUUACAAAACGGGUAUGACCCAUCGCAAGUUAUAACUGGUACAUACACAUAAUUCACUCGGAUCCGGACUUUUAUAAGCGAUCCGACACUUUUUUGAAUUCAAUUGUCAGUUACGGUAACCCAUGAUUUCAGCACCAUUUCCUCCUUCGAUUUCAAAUUUUAGAAAACCGGUGACCUCAUGAAAUUCUCAUUCGAAUUCUGAUCAUAAUUCUACCGCAAGUGGAUUGCUGGCAUCAAUUUUUGCAUAUCAGGAACCAUGGAUAAUGGUCAGUUCGCUACUUCUCUGUGAUGUUUCAUUAUGUGAUAGCAGUGAUGAGUUUUCUUUUAGUUUUUUAGACUCUGUUGUAACUGGUCCUUCUAUUUCUUAAUAGUUCUGAUAAAUCCGAAAACUGAUGGAAUGAUCUGGGGAAGUUUUUGAAAAUUUAAGACAGUUAUUAUUUCGAGCCAUGAUUUCAGGCACCAAUUCCUCCUUGAAUUUCAAAUCAAGGAGAAUCAGUGACAUUGAUCCAUUCUACUGCAACAUCCGAUCAUAACACUUCUUCGCACUCAUUGAUUGGUUAUGAAUUAUAAUUUUUUUGCUGUUGUGCUAGGUUAUAAAAGUCCAUCUUUGUUCUUAAAUUUGUCUCCUUCACGCAAAUAUUGUAAUGGAUGUUAAUGAUAUCAUUUAGUCUAAAUUUAAUAUUUUUAAGUUUAAGUUUGUUACAAAGAACCAUAUUUGUUGCAGCUUACAGAAGAUGCAUGGAUCCAAUUGAAAAGUUUGCACCAUCAACUUACCAUCAAAACCACAUUUCAUCCAAUCCACAUACCCAUCCAAAAGUUCCUGUUAAUGGGGUAUUACAACUAUAUUUGCUGGUAUAGUCAUCAGUGACGGCAUUGUAUGCAAACCUUUGUCAGUUAGCACAACCGUGAAUUGACAUCUUUAAAUUUUAAGCUCAGCUAAUACGUCUGGCACAUUGGACAAUUUAGGUGUCAUUAGCUUAUAUUGAUAGUUCAUUUAUAAUAUAUUUAAAUUUAACUUCUAUGUAUACAUUGAUUUACUAACAUGUAAAUUAAUGCAUUGCUUCACUUUUAUAUUUCCAUUUCAGGCUUAAAAAUUUCAAGCUCAAUGGUUACAAAACAAGGGAAGGAAAAUCAGAUUCCAGGUUUUCAAGACAGGCUCGGCGCUCGGGACUCAAAGUCCAACCGGAAUUACACAGAAGGGAUUCAUAAGUUCAAGCCAGGCAUCGGGUAUUUAUAUAUUACGUGUUCUUAUUUUCUGAUGUAUAAUUCAAUAUAAUCAUGACUUUUUAAUUUAGUCAGUUCAAAGUUAAGUGGUGUCAUUCAAAAAACUCUCACACCAUCACAAAGGAGGUUGCGUGGUGUUGAUCUGGUGUUCAUCUGUUUGGUAAAUAUUUACACAUUUUAUGACCAAAGAAUUUAUAUUUAUGUUACUAUUCCGGUUCAUUUUCAUGAUCUUUCAUGUUCAGGACCAAGCCCACCUGUUUCUACUUCAAGGCUUAUAAACAGGAGCAUGAAUAGCUCUAUCAAGAAAACCAUUUUUCAUUCGCAGUUAUUAAGUCUAGAAUUUUCAAACUCAAUAAUAUAUGACAUUCAUAUGUAUAUCCACUCUUAGACUUCUGUCUGUUUUGUAGAUAACUUGAAUCUUUGCCUUUAAAUUCUCUCUUAAGUGAUUUGGAGUAUGCUCGAAGUCUAACAUUCAAUCUCCCAAGGUCUCAUCUCAUACUUUGUAGACAACUUCAAAAUGAGUGUAGUUGCACUUGCACCCAAAAAAGAAGUCAAUGCAAAAAUUAAGGAAAUGACCGAUUUGUUAACAGUUGUCUACGAUACAGAUGACCGAUAUAAUAAAAGUUGUCUACGAUACACCAGAGAACUUGGAUCAGGUAAUUGUUGAAAAUGUUGCAGCUGCAGAGUGAAGGGAGAUUUUUUAUUUAUUGUUUUUUUCGUGGAGUUAUAUGUAAUAUUUAUUUUACCAGCACAGUUUGUACAUGUAUUAGGUUUUCCUUGCCUUUUGAAAUUAGAGAGAUUUGGUUCUAUUAUCAGUCUUUAAUUUAAAAGUAAUUGCAUGCACAAUGAAAUUAUGGUGGAUUUUUUUUU
This is an RNA transcript of Daucus carota subsp. sativus, 3514 nucleotides long. RefSeq lists it as uncharacterized. The record is from RefSeq and is a predicted model, not a curated record. NCBI's taxonomy places the organism in Eukaryota, Viridiplantae, Streptophyta, Magnoliopsida, Apiales, Apiaceae. The transcript has 6 exons.